GACGAACGCUGGCGGCGUGCCUAAUACAUGCAAGUUGAGCGAUGAAGAUUGGUGCUUGCACCAAUUUGAAGAGCAGCGAACGGGUGAGUAACGCGUGGGGAAUCUGCCUUUGAGCGGGGGACAACAUUUGGAAACGAAUGCUAAUACCGCAUAACAACUUUAAACAUAAGUUUUAAGUUUGAAAGAUGCAAUUGCAUCACUCAAAGAUGAUCCCGCGUUGUAUUAGCUAGUUGGUGAGGUAAAGGCUCACCAAGGCGAUGAUACAUAGCCGACCUGAGAGGGUGAUCGGCCACAUUGGGAAUGGGAAACGGCCCAAACUCCUACGGGAGGGAGCAGUAGGGAAACUUCGGAAAUGGACGAAAGUCUGACCGAGCAACGCCGCGUGAGUGAAGAAGGUUUUCGGAUCGUAAAACUCUGUUGGUAGAGAAGAAAGUUGGUGAGAGUGGAAAGCUCAUCAAGUGACGGUAACUACACAGAAAGGGACGGCUAACUACGUG
Molecule: ribosomal RNA, 497 nt
Filed under: uncultured bacterium
Lineage: Bacteria
Description: partial 16S ribosomal RNA
Rfam family: Bacterial small subunit ribosomal RNA
Source: RNAcentral